CCUGGCUCAGAGCAGGGGCUCAGUAAAUGUUUGUUGAAUGAAUAAAUGAGUCCAAGUAUCUGCUUUCAGUAAAGUAGGAAAUGGCUGAGGUCCUCUC
This 97-nucleotide microRNA precursor is filed under the name Loxodonta africana (African savanna elephant). RNAcentral's name for it is "miRNA (ENSLAFG00000033218.1)". Lineage: Eukaryota; Metazoa; Chordata; Mammalia; Proboscidea; Elephantidae. The record is from RNAcentral.